This 242-nucleotide long non-coding RNA is filed under the name Physcomitrium patens. Its description in RNAcentral is "long non-coding RNA (PPAT_LNC000246)". Lineage: Eukaryota; Viridiplantae; Streptophyta; Bryopsida; Funariales; Funariaceae. The record is from RNAcentral.
UAAGUUUGAGUGUUCUUCUAAAUCAAGUUCCAAUAAUGUAGUAAUGCUAAAAAAUUAAUUUGGAAAUUUUUCUAUAAAAAAAUAAUUUCUCAAUUACAAGACAUUCAAACUGUCAAAUUUUUUUUCAAACAUCUUCAACAUGUAGCAUUUGCAAUGCUUUCUUUGUUAAUUCUUCUUUUAAAUUGUAUUCUUGUGACAUAUCUAAUAAAAAUUAUUUUAAAAUAAGAGAAUAUUUUAUCAAU